GAUGAAGAACGUAGUGAAAUGCGAUACGUAGUGUGAAUUGCAGAAUUCAGUGAAUCAUCGAAUCUUUGAACGCACAUUGCACCUCUCGGUAUUCCGGGAGGUAUGCCUGUUCGAGCGUCAUUUGUACCCUCAAGCUCUGCUUGGUGUUGGGUGUUUGUUCCGCCUCUGUGUGUGAACUCGCCUCAAAACAAUUGGCAGCCGGCGUACUUGUUUCGGAGCGCAGCACAUUUUGCGAUCCAGAUCAACGUACAGCGGCAUCCAAGAAGCCUUAUUUAACGCUCUUGACCUCGGAUCAGGUAGGGAUACCCGCUGAACUUACGCAUAUCAAUAAGCGGAGGA
RNAcentral lists this unclassified non-coding RNA (339 nucleotides) under soil metagenome. RNAcentral describes it as "partial contains 5.8S ribosomal RNA, internal transcribed spacer 2, and large subunit ribosomal RNA". The stretch from base 1 to 120 matches the Rfam family "5.8S ribosomal RNA", at positions 35 to 154 of the family's 154-position model. The record is from RNAcentral.